Solanum tuberosum (potato) is the source of this 2682-nucleotide long non-coding RNA. RefSeq lists it as uncharacterized. The transcript is spliced from 2 exons. NCBI's taxonomy places the organism in Eukaryota, Viridiplantae, Streptophyta, Magnoliopsida, Solanales, Solanaceae. The record is from RefSeq and is a predicted model, not a curated record.
GCUUGAAAGGUAUGGUUGUUCUCUUUUUCCCUGUCGUCCUUAUCGAGAAUUUCCCCCUUUUUCCACUCCGCCCGAAGAUUACCAUAGAGGCUUGACAACCAUCCCUGCUUGCACUUUUAUAAAAAGAUCGAUAGUGGUUGUGAAGCUUGACUAAUAGACAUGGUUCCCCUAAAAGGAGAAUGUUUGCCCUGUGUUCCUUGGUAGCACAAACAAGCUCAUGUGUUCUACAUCCUGUAACUCAAGGUUGAAACUUGCUGUUCUUGAAUCUCACAAAUUUAUUAGGCAUUUCAUAUUAGUCAUAUGACUUGUGCUAACAUGAUUACUGGUUACUCUAGGAUGAUGAUAACCCUUUGUUGUCAAAUGCUUCUAUGAUGUCGUUAGAACUUUUCAAAUUCUGAUUUCUAUAGUUAUUCUACCAUCUAUUGUUGUGAGAAAUGGGACUUGAGGCUCACUGCAUUAAACAUGGCAAGUGGCCAACAUGUUUUAACAAGGUGUUGGCAACAUAUCGGGGAUGUCACUAACAUUGAAGAGUUCUCUUACUACUUUGGAGCUAUUAAUGCAAGGUAAACAAAUGGAUAGGAAAGGUGCCUGAAGGCUGAAAUGAGACAUGUUACAUGUAAUUUAUUUUUUCCGACGUAAGGAUAAUCAUGUAAUUUCCCUUUUCCAAUUUUUGUUUUUGCUUGCUGCGUGUUUCCAAGGAUUCAUGCGGUGGAUCUAAAAUCUUCCACAUCUUUUGUUCUCCAAAUCCUACUUCUAUAUUCCAUGGAAAACAGCAGUCUCAUUUCAUCCCAAUUUCAGAGAGGUUUGCUCCUUCCAACAACAAGAAGGAAAAGGUACACCACCUUAUUUCCCCUCUUUUCUUUUCAUGAAUAUUGUGGGUUUUCUUUUCAAUCUCAACUGUUGCUUCUUAGAUUUUUCAAUCUCUUCAUUGAUAUUGUGGGAAGUUUCUUCUUAGAUUUGCAAAACUUUCUUACAGGGGGUGCGUUUUUGGCUUGAUUCGUUGGGUUUAUGUGUUCUUUAAUGUUCUCUUUGCUAAUCUAAAUUAGCACCUUCUACAUAAAGUCAAUUUUUAUUUGGUUUGUUUAUUAAUUUAUGUGUGAACAUUGCUUGCUGGAACGUGAGCUACUAUUUGUUGGGAAUUUUGAUGAACAAUAGGAAAACAAAAGGUCCUGCUUUCUUUCGUAGCCAACUUUGCUUGCUUUCAUGAUCUUUUCCUCUAAUAUUGAAACAGCUGGGAAAGCAUUUGGUUGCCAUGUACUUAGUUUACUGCCUUCAAUUAUUCUCAUCUAUUGCUCUUAUUUCUCCUCUUUAAUUUGCUAUAUAUUUAAAAUAUACUUCAAAAGGUCUUAUAAACUACAAUAAUUAACAAUUUCAAAUAGAACGUAAGUAUGUAUGUGAGUACAUCUUAUUUGUUUCUUCUCGCAUAUGUUACUUGUAAUUUACUUUCCUUCUCUACCUAUUGGUUAAAUUUUACUUUCUCUUAUUUAUGUGAUCUGUGGAUGUUUUCAUAUGCAUAAUAAAUCUUUACAGCAAUAACAUCAAUUUUCCAAAACAGAUAGAUAAGUAUUGCAAAAGAAAAUGAUCAAUAUACUAUAGCUAAGGACAAAGAGAUUUUGCAAUUCUUUAUUUUUGUCUUUUAAAUGAAUUGAUCUUUAAUUUAAGUCAAUAGCAUAAAAACUUAUACCUACAUAACAUAAGUUAGUUUGUUGGAUCUGGAUCAAUUUGUUGUCAUUUAAGUGCAAUGACUGAAGCUCGAUCAAUUGGCCCAAAGAACUUCGAACUCAGCCAGACAGAUCAUUGUUCCCAAACUCUAAAGCUUUCAAGUAAGAACACUCCUCUAUCCUUGUAGAGAUACUUCCUGUUAGCUUAUUGUCUGAUAGAUUAAUGACUUCAAGAAGAGUUACCUUUAGUAUUUCUAAUUCAUAAACAAAACUUCUAAUCUUUGUUUUUAACUGUAGUAGUGUAAGUUUGGUUGCACUUUCAUUACUAUAACAUCUUACUUUUUUUGGUCUACUAUGAGAGCAUGUAUCGCAAGGUGAGAGAAAUUUCGACUCUCAUUUACUUUUAGUAUUUUCUAAUUCAAGAACAAGACUUCCAACAUUUAGUUUUAACUAGAGUAACAGUUUUAUUAGCUUUAACUAGAGUCAUUGCUUCAUGCAUGUGUAAAGCACAAUGCAGUUUCAAGAUUCAAUACUCUAAAUCAAGAAAUAGGAAGCUGGUAAAGAUUAGCUUAAAUGUUCAUUCCACAUCUAUGAAUGCUCUACGAUAUGCUAUCCUAAUUUCUAUGUUCUAUCAAUUGGUUUAAAAUUGUAUAUAUGUGUCAUGAUAUCUGAUAAAGAGAGAACACUAACAGAGACUGAGCACUUAGCAUCUCAUCGUACAAAGUACAAUUAAUUGCAUGCACGGAGUCUACUUGGAAUAUUUUUUAUCUGGUAUAAGAAUGACCAAGAUGCCCUAGAAAAAUAUUGGUGAAGCAAUAUGUUCUGUUAUUAGUGGACUGAAGUCUUUGGCCUUAAUGAAAUGGUGAAGCAUUGUUCACCAGUGUAGUGUGCACUGCAGACAAUGUGGAGUUGACUUUUUGACAAGUACAUGUAUUAGGUCUUAACCAUAAAACAGCCUCUCCUUUUAGUUUAUGCCCAUAUAUGUAUUUCUAUUCACUUCAUUUCUUCUUUUUGUCUCUUC